Molecule: long non-coding RNA, 968 nt
Filed under: Mus musculus (house mouse)
Lineage: Eukaryota; Metazoa; Chordata; Mammalia; Rodentia; Muridae
Description: long non-coding RNA chrX:130984089-130985057
Source: RNAcentral
GGAAAAAGAUCACAUCCAAAGUCAUGAUCAACCUGGAAUGCAGUCAUACCACACACUUUUAAUCCCUCUGGCUGGAAUAUAUACCUUUGAUUCCUCUGGCUAUAAUGCAGACACACCUUCAGUACACAGUUUUAAUCCCGAUGACCUCAAGUUGAGGAGCAAAACAUGUGAGGAAUAAAAGAAUGAUUUGACAGAAUGAAUCAGAGAUCCCUAUCUCAACUCUUGGGAGAACAGUCAGGUAAGAGAAGCUACUUAAAGAGCAGUCAGGGAGAGAGAAUUCAAUUCAGUUGUGCUCAGUUCAAUUAGGAGCAGCUGAGUUCAGAGCAGUUCUGGUUGAGGAGUUCUGAGACUGUUUUUUUCAAGCUGAGCAAUCCGGUCAGAAGAUGAGAGAAGCCUAUUUGAAUCAGACAGCUUGGAGAAAAGUUUAAGGCUGAACAACUGAGUUGAACCAGCUAGCCAGAGAUCAGAAAAAGCUAGAAAAGGUGAGUUUAUUCAGCAGUAAGUCUCAGAGGCUGAAACAUUCUAGGCCUAUGUUAAUAGAAAGAGACUGGAAGCUGAAGGUUUCAAGGUCCAGGCUUGGAGAAGAUUAGAUUGUACCGAGGCUAGAAACUUCCAGGCCUAGGCCUAGGGAUAGUUAGAACAUAGAUAAAAAUGCUCUGGCCUCAGCCCAAGCCAUGUAUUCUGAAAGCUUGGGCCUGGCUCUCACUUCAUUCCUUCCUAUGAGGCAAUAAAAGUGACACAUUUACAACUAACUACCGGUGGGAUACUAACUGCAAAGCAAAGUAGGAGGAGCAUUUUAAAGGAAUUUAUCAAAAUAAUUAUAGGAGGAGAAUACUUUCAUUAAAAAAUAAAUUAGUAUAAUUCUAAUAGAAUCAUAACUCUUUCAAAAGUGCUUCUGUGUACACUCCAUCUUUGUUACCUAUAAUGAUUUGACAUUCAGUUAAAAUUAAGUGCUUCUUCCAGAGUGC